GAGUGGCAAACGGGUGAGUAACGCGUGGGUGACCUGCCUUCGAGCGGGGGAUAACGUUCCGAAAGGGACGCUAAUACCGCAUAACAUUCCGUCAUUGAAGAGAUGGAAAUCAAAGCUGGGGAGCACUCGAAGAGGGGCCCGCGUCCGAUUAGCUAGUUGGUGAGGUAACGGCUCACCAAGGCAACGAUCGGUAUCCGGCCUGAGAGGGCGGACGGACACACUGGGACUGAGACACGGCCCAGACUCCUACGGGAGGCAGCAGUGGGGAAUUGUUCGCAAUGGGCGCAAGCCUGACGACGCAACGCCGCGUGGAGGAUGAAGAUUUUCGGAUCGUAAACUCCUGUCGAAUGGGACGAAAAGAUCGCGGGUGAACAGCCCGUGAUCCUGACGGUACCGUUAAAGGAAACCCCGGCUAACUCCGUGCCAGCAGCCGCGGUAAUACGGGGGGGGUAAGCGUUGUUCGGAAUUACUGGGCGUAAAGGGCUCGUAGGCGGCCAACUAAGUCGGACGUGAAAUCCCUCAGCUUAACUGGGGAACUGCGUCCGAUACUGGAUGGCUUGGAUUCGGGAGAGGAAUGCGGAAUUCCAGGUGUAGCGGUGAGAUGCGUAGAUAUCUGGAGGAACACCGGUGGCGAAGGCGGCAUUCUGGACCGACAU
This 656-nucleotide ribosomal RNA is filed under the name uncultured bacterium. Its description in RNAcentral is "bacterial SSU rRNA". It matches the Rfam family "Bacterial small subunit ribosomal RNA", at positions 93 to 740 of the family's 1533-position model. The record is from RNAcentral.